Molecule: ribosomal RNA, 718 nt
Filed under: uncultured bacterium
Lineage: Bacteria
Description: bacterial SSU rRNA
Rfam family: Bacterial small subunit ribosomal RNA
Source: RNAcentral
GAAAGCGUGGGUAGCGANCAGGAUUAGAUACCCUGGUAGUNCACGCCGUAAACGAUGAGUGCUAGGUGUUAGGCCCUUUCCGGGGCUUAGUGCCGGAGCUAACGCAAUAAGCACUCCGCCUGGGGAGUACGACCGCAAGGUUGAAACUCAAAGGAAUUGACGGGGGCCCGCACAAGCGGUGGAGCAUGUGGUUUAAUUCGAAGCAACGCGAAGAACCUUACCAGGUCUUGACAUCCCGAUGCUAUUCUUAGAGAUAGGAAGUUACUUCGGUACAUCGGAGACAGGUGGUGCAUGGUUGUCGUCAGCUCGUGUCGUGAGAUGUUGGGUUAAGUCCCGCAACGAGCGCAACCCUUAUUGUUAGUUGCCAUCAUUAAGUUGGGCACUCUAGCGAGACUGCCGGUAAUAAACCGGAGGAAGGUGGGGAUGACGUCAAAUCAUCAUGCCCCUUAUGACCUGGGCUACACACGUGCUACAAUGGUCGGUACAAUGAGUUGCGAGCCGGUGACGGCAAGCUAAUCUCUGAAAGCCGAUCUCAGUUCGGAUUGGAGGCUGCAACUCGCCUCCAUGAAGUCGGAAUCGCUAGUAAUCGCGGAUCAGCACGCCGCGGUGAAUACGUUCCCGGGCCUUGUACACACCGCCCGUCACACCACGAGAGUUUGUAACACCCGAAGUCGGUGAGGUAACCUUUUGGGGGCCAGCCGCCUAAGGUGGGANGGAU